UACAGAGGUCCCAAGCGUUGUUCGGAUUCACUGGGCGUAAAGGGUGCGUAGGUGGUAAGGCAAGUCAGGUGUGAAAUCUCCGGGCUCAACCCGGAAAUGGCAUUCGAAACUACCUUGCUAGAGGGUUUGAGGGGGGACUGGAAUACUUGGUGUAGCAGUGAAAUGCGUAGAUAUCAAGUGGAACACCAGUGGCGAAGGCGGGUCUCUGGGCCGAUACUGACGCUGAGGAGCGAAAGCGUGGGGAGCGAACAGG
This 253-nucleotide ribosomal RNA is filed under the name uncultured bacterium. Its description in RNAcentral is "partial 16S ribosomal RNA". It matches the Rfam family "Bacterial small subunit ribosomal RNA", at positions 524 to 776 of the family's 1533-position model. The record is from RNAcentral.